This 29-nucleotide small RNA is filed under the name Bombyx mori (domestic silkworm). RNAcentral describes it as "ovarian small RNA-11421". Lineage: Eukaryota; Metazoa; Arthropoda; Insecta; Lepidoptera; Bombycidae. The record is from RNAcentral.
ACGAAUCCACGCCGGUAUACCGGUACUCC